Long non-coding RNA from Cannabis sativa, 12974 nucleotides. RefSeq lists it as uncharacterized. The transcript is spliced from 2 exons. The record is from RefSeq and is a predicted model, not a curated record. Lineage: Eukaryota; Viridiplantae; Streptophyta; Magnoliopsida; Rosales; Cannabaceae.
GAUGCUGCCUUCUUUCAUAAAGACUUAGCAAAUAAUUCAAGUAUUAAGAUGUUUUGAUCCACGUGUUCCUGUCCGGUUGGUCCACGUAUAUUGGGCCAAAUCAAGGGCAACAGACAUAAAAAUGCAUUCUGAAUUCUAAAAUAACAGCAUACAUAAUUAUUUAAAUAUCUAUAAAUAAUUUUCUAUAAUUAAAUCAUAAUUAACUGCUAAUUUCCAAAUUAAACUAAGUGGUCUUUACAUAUAUAUAAUAACAACAAAUAAAAAUAAAAACAUAUAGCUUGCUAAUAAAAUUAUAUGUCAUGUCAAUAAAAGUACAAUGGAAAAUAAAACUUAAAUAUUAUUUAAAAAAAAUAAUAUACUGUAUAAUAUAGAUAUACCAUAAUCUUUAAGUAAUUUACUUCUAAUUCUAAAAAAAUAUGAAAAAUAAAUUAUUGAUUUUUUUAUAUGGCAAAAAAUAAUAUAAAUAAUAAAUAGUGUAAAAAGAUCAUUUUUUACAAAUUUUAAAAUGAUAACAUUUAGUUACAUAAUACUAUGAUUUUAGAUCAUUUCUAUAAUUUUCAAUAGAAAAAUGACAGUAUUUUGGAAUUUUUACACAACAUACUGAAAUUUUUAAUUUUUUUCUUUUUUACUUUGGGGUAAUUUUUUUUUUUUCAAAAAUACUGCAUACUAUGUUAAGUGUUAUUGUUGUUCCACAUUUAUUUUUAAGUAUUAUACUGUUGUUUUUUAAUUAUUCUAUUUUGUUAUUUUAUAGUUGUUUUAUAAAAAAAACAGUAUUUUUGUAAAAAAUAAAAUUGUAAACUUUUACUAAAAAUUUACUAUUUGUUAUAAAAACCCGAAGUAUUUUUGUAAAUAAAAUACAUUCUAAUAAAAAAGGGAUUAUUUCACAAAAACAUAAAAACAACAAAAAAAUUACAUAAACACGGUUUCACAGAAUUUUAAACAUUUUUACGAUUUUUUUUUUAUUUACAGAAAAUACGGUAUUUUUUAUGUUGUAAUCUUGUUAAUUUGUUGUUGAUUUUUUGUUAUCUAUAUGUUAUUUUUUGUUGUUAUUUUGAUGUUAUUUUUAUGUUACUUUUAUGUAGUUUUCUUGUUGAUUUUAUGUUGUUUUCGUGUUAUUUUUUGGAAAACCGUAAAAAUAUAAAAAUACAUUUUUUGAACGUAAAAAUGUAAAUAUUUUAAAAAAAAUAGUGCCUUAUGUAAUUAUUCUAAUAAAAAAGGGAAACUUACAAAAAUAUUGGAAUUUGAGGUAACUUUUACAAAAAUACUGUCACACGGAAAAAUUUAUAAAAAUACUGUGUUUUUAUAAAACACCAGUAGAACACAAAACAGAACAACUCAAAACACCAGUAGAACAACUAAAAAACACCAGUAGAACACCAGUGAAAACUUAACACAGUAUACUGCAGUAUGAAACUUAUAAAAAACACAGUAAAAAAGUAAAAAAUACCACUUGACAGUAUUUUUGUAAAAAAAAUUACAAAAGUUAGUAUACCGUGUAAAUUUCCCAAAAAAUAGCAUAAACAUUGGGCCCCAUUAUCCAACGAGACAAGAAUGGACCAUCCUCAUGGCCCAGUCAAUUUUCCCGCUGGAGGGUAUUUUGGGAAGUUCAAGUCUCACAUAAAUACAACCUUGUUGGUUCUAACCCUAAUUUUCUGGUUCGUCUUCUUCUUCUUCUUCUUCAUUUUUUAAUUAAUUAAUUAUUAUCUUUUAUUAUUUUUUUUCUGGUUUUGUUUUGGGGCCCGAUGAUGGAAAAACUCAAAUCACAAUGAGCGGUAGCGUGGUUCUUGUUUUCACCAGCUUUAACUCGCCAUUGCCACCAUCUUUGGUAGCUACUGCUACUACUGCUGCUACUACUACUACUACUACUUCUUCUUCUUCUUCUUCUUCUUCUUCUUCAUACAUACAUACAUACAAUAUAUAUACACACACACACAUACAUGUUUAUUAAAGGUGGUUAGGUAGUGGCGUGUUAUGGCUUCUGAAGAACACCCAUUAGCUUCUUCCGCAGAUGAUUCUUCUCAAGUUAUGUGAUCUGAGGGCUUUUUUAUUAUAUUUUUAGUUCACAUUUUAUAAUUGCUUUAUAAUGUUGUUUGAUUUUUUUUUUCUUUUGCAAUUGCUUAUUUUGAACCAUUUUAUAGUGUCUAGAGUGAGAUGAUGAUGAAUGCAGUGGGCUCUGAGCAGUUGGUUGAUGGACAUGCAGCCCAGGAAGCUUCAUCUGAAUCCACUCUUAAUCUUAAAGCGAGUGUGGAGCUUCUGUUCAUUUUCAGGUUGAUGAAGAUGCAAUCUGGUUUGAAUGAGUAAGUUAUAUGCUUGUGUGUAAAAAAUCUCUGAUUUUGAUUUGACUUUGACCAGUUGUUUAUCCAAAAGAUCUGAGGGCUAUUUCCCAAAUGACUAAUAUAGUAGGUCUGUUUUGCUUUAUUUUUUUUUAAUUCCUUUACCUAAUGUGAUCCAUCUCAGUUUCUGUCUGUUGAUGAGAACUGUUAUUUAUUUAUUGAUAGUGCAUUGAUUUCUUGUUUGAGUCUUCAUCUUUCCUGUUCCCACCAUCCUCGAUGUACUCACCAUCUUCAUAAAUCCAAUUUUAUUGCUGCCAAAACAUUAUGAGCAUUAUGGCACCCUAUCUAAUAUUUUUAAACUGAAAUUGGUCCUAGUGCUCAUUAGACAUUCUUAAGCAUUACACAAUAUUUUUCUGUUAAUAGUCUGAUUUUCUUGUGUUAGUUGUAGUGGUAAUGAUCUGCGUUUGCUGUUGGUGGUGAUGAAUGCUGACGAUGGUGGUUGUAGCGUGGCGGUGUUCAAUACUUGAAGAUGUAGUUGGUUCUUAGUGCAUUUCAAAUAUUGAUCUCUAAAAGCAUUUAUCUGUUUAAAAUGUUGUCCUUAUAUUUUAUUGUGUUACUUUUUUAGUGUAGUUUACAAGUAAUUUCUUCCUUUGUUUUCUGCCCUGUGAUGGAAAAACUUAUUGUUGGAAACAAUUCCUUGGCUUUUCAUCAUCUGCUUCUACAUCUUUUUUGCCAGAUUCUCUCAUCAUCAUCAUCAUCAACAACAACAACAACUUCUCUUCUCUUUUCUUCUUCUUCUUCUUUUUAUCUCUCUCUCUCUCUCUCUCUCUCUCUCUCUCUCUCUCGGUUAUUGAAGAUGUAGUUAGCCUUGAUGAAAAGUCAAUGGCUUUAUUGUUAAUGAACUUUUAUAGCUAUGAGAUCUGAGGGCUUUGUAUUUUAUAUUUAAUAUUGUAAUUAGCCAUGUUUUGAUUCUGUUUGUUUUGUUUCAGACUGAGUUAUUAGUUUAAAUAAUUAAUCUUUUUGUGUCAUUGUUUUUUUGUUACAUAUUUUGUUGAAGAGUCCUAUUAUGAUAAAUUUUUACUGGAUAUAUAACAAAGACACAAGUGAACAGUAUUUUCUAAUCAAAGACUAGUAAUUGGCCAGAAGUUAUUUGUCUCUUGCUCUUUUUGUAAUUACAAGAUUGUAAUUUCAUCAGCCCAAUGAUGAAAAUAUUAGUAGUUUCAAAUCAAAUAAUUUCAUGAUUUUUCAUCAUUAACCUUUCCAUCAUUACUUGGUGACAAGUUCUGUUUUUUUUUUUUUUCUUUGCAUUCUCUCUCUCUCUCUCUCUCUCUCUCUCUCUCUCUAGUGGUUGUUGAUGAUGCAAACUGGUUUUAAUGAAAAUCACGGUUAUAUGCUUGAAAAUUCAAAAAAAUCUCUGCUUUAAAAUGACUUUGAAAAGUUGUUUUUAAGAGAACUGAGGGCUGUAUCACUAUCUAGUAUCUGUUCAGGGAUUUUUCUUCUUAAACUUUUUCAAAUAUUUAUAUAAUAUCCAUUAUAUUUUUCAUACGUUUAUUUGUUUCUGCCAAUGAUGAGAAUCUUCUUUUUGUAAUGAGACAUGCAUUGAUUUCUUUUUGAGCUCCCAUCUUUUCUGCUCGAGCAUUGCUUUAGGCACUAAUGUUGUCUGGCACCACCACCGCCUUGCAAUUAGAUAGCGAUAUUCCAUUAAAGCAUUAAAUUUUAUGGGGUUCUAUGCUUAAUUGCACCAAUAGCAUAUGACACGUUGGAAGGUAUCAAGUAACUUGAACCAGCUUGUAGAGAAUUCUUGCUUUCAUCUUUUUUGCUUCCUAAGUUGUGACCUUUUUUUGGCUGAUGAUGACAGUUUUAUGCAUGAGACAUCAGUUUGGUUUUAUCUCUCUGCUUCCACCAAAGCCGACAUUCAUUACAAGCCGUUGUUCCUUUUCUAUUUUGAUUGAUUUCAAGCACACUCAUAACAUUUAUCCUCUCUUAUUAUUGUUGUUGUUAACCUUUUAAAGAACAAUGUAGAGAAGCUGAUUCGAGUGCUCUUUAUGGUGGUUUUAGUGAAUGUUGAUGGCGUAGUGGUAAUGAACUUAACCCGUUCUGAAUGAUUUGAUUAGAUUAUUAUGCAGAGUUAGUGCUUUAUUUUCUAACAUCUACUCUCAUUGGUGUUUUUUUGCGCAAGAAUUCCAUUCUUUCCCAGUAACCUUUUUGAUAAUGUGAACCUUGGUUGUUAAUAUUAUCUUCUGUUUAUCUUGUGUAACUUAGCUUAUGUACUUGUUUAGUCUACAAUUUUGUAAUUUUUUGCAUUACUAUUAAGGUAGAUAAAGCUACGAUUUCUUUGUGUAAUUAUUUUCUUUGUUAUUUCUUUUUUAUUUCCAGAGUUUUCGAAGUAAUUUUGUUUGUAUAUAUUUUCAUAAUUUAGAAAUGGUAAAAAAUAUUUUAUGGUCAAUUAAUAUAGUAUAUAUAUUUUAUUGAGGAAAAGAGUUUAUUAAUAUUUUUAUCUCUAUUGAUCAAACUUUGUUUCUGCUUGAUAAUGAGAUGUUUGGACAUCUUAGUAUGCUUUCACCAUAUUCGGCUUCUUUGAGGUCAAAUUAUUAUAUUUAUUAUGAAUGUUGCAUUUAUACUAUGAUGAUGCAUAUGAUGUUCUACCCUUGCUGUGGAUAGUGGCCUACGUUCAUGAAAAUGUUGACUUGAAUCUACGUAUAUAGCUAUAAAAUUUAGAGAUUGACAAGAACUUGGGACUUUAUUUGUUGAGAUACUUGUGAAUGUGGUUUUAUAGGUUUGCCCUGUGAUGGGAAAACUCUAUUGUGGGAAACAGUUUCAUAGUUUUUCAUUAUGAGCCUUAUUACAUCUGUCCUUCUCUCUCUCUCUCUCUAUAUAUAUAUAUAUUUAUCUAUCUAUCUAUCUAUCUAUCUAUCCUCCCUUUUUAGGGCACUUCAUGGUGUCCUACAGCAAUGCUCUUAUGUCUAUAUAUAUAUUUCUCUCUCUCUCUUGUUGGGUGGGUUGAACGGUUGUAGUAAGGCUGAUUUGAAAAUUCUUGUGUUAUACUGUUUUUGACCAGAUUAAUUAGCUAUGAGAUCUGAGGGCUUUCCUUAGGCUGAUUAUAUUUACUCAUUGUAAUAUUCAAGUUUGUUUUUCCAUUUUAUUUUAUAAUUAUGUUUUGGUUGUCUCACUAGCUGAUCAGUAUGUUUACUCUGCAGUAUGUUUUGUUGUGCAUUCAUUUUAUUGUGAGUUUAAUCUGCUUGCAUUGUAUUCUUGUUUAUAUGUGGUUGUCUUUGUUGACUUCCUUGCUUGCUAUAUUAGCUGCCAAUUUAUAUAUAUAAUAUUUUCAAUUCCUGAUGAUGACAUUUUUAUUUUCUCUGCCGUAAGCCACAGAACACUUUAUUAUAUUGUUCUUGUUGCUUAUGUUGGUCUUGAAUGAUGUUGAUGUGCAUUGUAAAAUUUAAAUGAUUACUGCAUUGUAAAGUGGUUGCAGCGAAUAUCGGUUGGUGGUUGUAAUGGAGAUGAGGGAUAUCAAGUGAAAACUUUUGUAGUAACAAUCAAACUUCAAUAUAAAUUACAUGUUAGAUUUUAAUUAAACGACUUACUGAAUUACAGCUGAGUUGUUUUAAAGAACCACACUAGAAAAGUUAAACAUUAUUUUAUUGAAUUUUGCCCUUCAGCUGUGGAUGAUCCAUCUUCUUAGUUGCAUCCACGCUGAUGUAACUACGAUGAAGCAUCAUUCCCAACUAAAAGCAUUCAUUAACUUUUAUUUUUUCUAAUGUUAGUCUUUUGUGGUUGAGAGGAUGGCCUGCAUUAAUUUAUUUUUUAAAAAAUAUAUUUUGUGGUUUAUAUUGUCGGUGUUGUUGUUGUUGAUUUUUAUUGGUUUUGUUUAUUCAUGGUAUUUCUAGGUUUCUGAGGUUAUGUUUAUAUUUUUGAGAUGGUUUUAUUUUUUAUUGUUUCAUUUUUAUUGGUUGGAUGUGUGUUUAUCUAUGCAAUAUAUUUUGCUUUGGAAAAUAAUAAUAUGUUAUCAUGUUUUUUUUCGCACUUACAUGUUUUUUGGCCCUAUUUUGGAAUGGAAAAUUUCAUUUUGGGAAGCAGUUACGUCGUAUUGCAUUGUAAGCCUUGUUACAUCUGUAACUCUCUAAAUAUGAAUAUGUUGGUCCCAACAUUGUUACUGUAGUGGUUUUACUUUAUAUAUGUUGUUGAACUAAUCUCAAUCUGUGUAUAGAGCUAUAGUAAGUGGGAGGUGGUUUUAAAUAUACGUUCAUGAUAUUUUUCUGAUUAAACUUUCCACCUAUUGUGGUAUUUUUUAACGUUGGAAACAUCUUGAUGUGUUUCUUUUUUUAAUGAAAUUCAUUAAAAAAAGGCUUCGAUAUUUUUAUGAUAAAAGUUUCCCCCCAUCUUGGUAUUUUUUAACGUUGGAAACAUCUGGAUGUGUUUCUUUUUUAACGAAAUUCAUGAAAAAUGGCUUUGUUUUUUCUUGGUAAAGAUCGAGUUCGUCAAAUAAGAUGAUUCAUUGUUAAGAAAAGUUGUUUUUUUUUGGUUUCAUUUGCUUUAUAUGUAUUUUGCCCUGUGAUGUAUAAAUUCAUUUUGGGAAGCAGUUUCAGGUUUUGCAUAAUGAGCUUUGUUACUUCUGUCCCCUCCCUCUCUCCCUCUCUCUCUCUCUCUCUCUCUCUCUCUCUCUCUCAUUUUGAUAGCCACAUUUAACAGCACUCCCAUCCGGUUUUGCCUAUUAGCAUUCCUCAUAUCCAUAUACAUAUAUAUAUUUAUUAUCUCUCUCUCUCUGGGUGGCUGGAUGGUAUAGCAAGGCUCGUAAUGAAAAAUUCCCAUAUUCUGUUUUAAUGACCAUAUUAGCUAUGAGAUCUGAGGGCGUUAGUUGAUGGAUGAUAUACGUUCUUUAAUGUUAAGAGUUACCCUAUCAAUUUCUUUUGUGUGUUCCUACCAUCAUUGAUUCUCACUGUAGGUUGCUGCUUCAUUGAUGAUAUGCAUCUUAAGGUGUAGCAUUGACUUGGGUGGUGGUUGUAGUGUAUUGGUGUUAAGCCAUUAGGAUUUUUGGAACUCCAUGGAUUGAUUGUGUAAACUCCAUUUGAGGGAUUCCUCAACAAGUUGUGUAUAGCUUGGUUAAGAAGUAAAAGGUGUUUUAAGUAAUUCCACUGUUUUUUUAUCACGUUCGAGACAUCUUGAUACAUUACCUUUCUUUUAAAAAGUCAGGUUUCUAAGAUGGCUUGAAAAGUUUUUUCCUAAAAGAUUUGAAGGCUGCAUAUAGUUUAUAAUAUUGUUUGUGUUUUUUGCCUUGUGAUGGAAAAACUCUCUGUGGGAAACUGUUUCAUGGUUUUGCAUCAUGAGUCUUUUAUACAUGUCCUCUCUCUCUCUCUCUCUCUCUCUCUCUCUCUCUCUCUCUCUCUCUCUCUCUCUCUUUGUAAGAAUGCUUCGAAUGGCUUCUCUACUCUAAAAGCAUCUCCAAUGGACAUAUAUAUAUUUCUCUCUCUCUCUCUCUCUCUCUCUCAUAGGGUGGUUGGACAGUGUAGGAAGGCUCUUUAUGAAAAUUUUCAUGUUUUACUGUUGAUGACCUGAUUAGCUAUGAGAUCUGAGGGCUUUGUUGAUGAUCAUAUACUCAUUUGAAUGGUCAUGAUUUAUUUUUCUUGACAAUAUUCUUUUGUUGUAUGACACUAGUUAAUCAGAUGUGUUACAGAAGAACUUGAUUUGAAUUAUAUUCUUUUUUAUAGGAUCUAGAAGCUUCUUAACUGUAGCUUUCGCUUUUGUAUUUGUCAGCUACUUUGCAGGAGUUAAUUGGUGUGCAUUUCGGGUCAUGUUAAUAUUAGCUGCUCAAAUGUUUGUCAAAUCCUUUUCUUUUUUAAACCUUGACAUUUUGUUGCAAUCAGCUAUAUUUACUGCUCCCACCAUUAUCAUCAUAAGCCACCAGUGCCCCAUUUGUUUGAUGUUUUGGUACAUACUAAUGUGUAUGUCAUCACCCUCAUUACUGUUGUUGGUAAUGACUAAUGAUGAUGAUCUCCAUCUUCAGGUGGUUUUAUUGUAUACCUAGCACUGGUGAUAAGCAUCAAGUUGAUGUGGUGGAAGAUUUUUGCAAUAAGAUCUGUAGGGCCUUUACAUUUUAAAGAUUAUCUAUAGGGCCUCUAACACUAAACUCAUUUGGAGACAAAAUGGUUUUAAUUAAAAAUUGAUGGUUAAUUUUUUAUGCUAGUCUAUAAUAUAGUUAAUAGUUAUUGAUUCAUAUGAGCCAUAAGAGCUAUGAGCUAUCUUUGUUAGUUAUAUAUUAAAACCAUUGCCCGAUGAUGAGGAAUUUUUUACCUUAUUGAUGUGUGCAUUGGUUCCUUUUUAGCCUCCAUCUUUUCUGCUCCCACCAUCUUUGGUACACACCAUCUCUAAAAGGUGCUUUUGCCGCAAAUAUCCCUUAUUAUUAUUACUAUUAUUAUUAUUAUUAUUAUUAUUAUUAUGUGGUGGUGGUGGUGGUGACGACGACGAUGAUUAUGAUGAUUCUUGUGUCUAUUGGAUGUGGUGAAUGCCAAUAAUGGUGGUUGAAGUAGUGGUGUUUAAACCUUGAAGAUGUGAUUGGUUUUCCAUGUACAUGAUAUCUCUAGUUCUUCUCUGAGGGCAUAUUUAUGUAUUGCGAUGGUUUCUUUUAUAUAUUUAUGGGACUUUUUUAUGGAGUCAAAUUUCAUUACUACUGUUUUUUAGUACAGUACAUGUUUUUUUGCCCUGUCAUGGAAAAUUUCAUUUGAGAUGCUUAUUUCUUUGUUUUGCAUUGUAACCGUUUACAUCUGUAACACUCUCUCUCUCUCCACAUAAUAUUUAAACCAUUGUAAGUGCUCUUGUGGCUUUGAAUGAAAAUUCUUUGGUAUAACUGUUUACUGGUAUUACUGGUAUGCUAUACUCUUCUUAUGAUGUAAAAGUUGUUUGCAUUUUGCUCCACUAAAAUAUCAAGCAUAGGCAAUGGCAACACUUUAUUUUUGUGAACUGAAAAUAGCUACUCUGUGAUGGGUUUUUUUUUUUUUAAUAUUCUAGUCAGCUUCUUGUAAAUUUGUAAUCUCAGCUUAUCCAAUUAGCUACGAGAUCUGAGGGCUCUCUUUGAUUUGGCAAAUAUUCAUAUUUGUUUGUAGAUGUUAUUUUAUAAUGAUACUACCUGUUAAACACAUCGGUUAUUGAAGUCUGUAAUUGGCAUAUUUCUAAUGGCUUUAGUAUUUAUUGUCUUAGUUACAUCAAAGUAGGUAAAUGCCUGUCAUGGUUUUAAAUUUGAUUAUGUAAAUGCCUGAUGAUGACAUUUUGUUUCAAUGAGUUUGUGUAUUUGAUAUUCCAUCUUUCUGCUCCUGCUAUUGCAGAUAUUCACCAUAUUCCACCAGACGUCCUGUGUAUGAUGUUUGCGUACAUAUGUGUGCGGAUAUCAUUACUCAUCAAUGUUAUUAUUUUUAUUGUUGUUGUUGUUGUUGUUGUGUUUGUUUUUCUUCUUCUUCUUCUUCUUCUUCUUCUUCUUCUUUUUCAUAAGAUGGAUGCUGUGAAUGAAUGUCUGUGGUGGUGGUUGUAGUGGUUUGGUGUAGAGUCAUCUGGAAGAUGUGAUUGAAAAUAAAUGAGAUCUGAGGGCUCUGAUAUUGUUUUCUUUUUUGGUGUUUUUUCUUUUAGUUCCCUCAUGUUAUUGUAAACUAACCCAUAAAAUAACCAGUUUAUUCUAUUUUGGCUUUCUUUCCAUGUUUCGUAUUUUCAUUUUUUUCUUCUGUUUUGAACAUCUCUUGACUUCUCUGAAUUUCAACUUUCUAUUUCUUACAAAAUUGUGUUGUAUAUGCUAGUUGUUUUGGGAAUAUGGUUAACUUUGCUUAUGAUAUGUUGGCACCAUAGAGUUGACUUAUAUUUUUUUUGGGUUAGUAAAAGUUUGUUUGUGCUUUAUGAUGGGAACUCCUUUAAUGCUUUGAUGUCAUUUUGAGCCUUCAUCUUUUCUGAUCCCAGAAAUGUCUGUUCACACCAGCAUGCAGUGUUUAUCACAGUAAAACAUCUAUAAAUUAAGAACUUUGUUACUUUGCAGGGUACUUUAUUCAUCAUUUGACUCAAACUUUUAUGUGCCUGAUGAUGACAUUGUGUUGCAAUGAGUUUUAAUUUGGAUCGUCCAUCUUUCUGCCAUCAUUGAUAUUCACCAUACGCCUCCAAUUGUUGGGAAGCAGUUUUGUGGUAAUGCAUUAGCCUUAUUACAUCUGCGACUCUCUCUCUCUAAAUAUUUAUAUGUUGGUCUCAACAUUGUUACUAUAUAAUAUAUAGAGGUUUUCCUCUAUAUAUUGUACUAAACAUCUUGAUGUGUUUCUUUAAAUGAAAAUACAUAAUUACUUAAACUAAACCUUUUUAUUUUAAAGAUCUGAGUUUUUCUCAUUAUAUGUUUUUUGCCCUGUGAUGGAAAAACUCAUUUUGGGAAAAGCAGUUUCAUGGUUUUUCAUAAUGAGCUUUGGUAAUUCUGCCCCCUCUCUUUCCCUCUCUCUAGUUGUGAUAGCUACAUUUUAGAGCACUCACAACAUUUUCUCUGCUCUUAUUUCAUAUAUAUACAAAAAUAAUUAUUUCUCUCUCAUAUGGUGGAUGGAUGGUACAGCAAGGCUCAUAAAUUAAUGAAAAAUUCCCAUGUCAUUCUGUUUUAAUGACAUGAUUAGCAAUGAGAUCUGAGGGCUUUAGUAGAUGAAUAAUAUAUUCUUUGAUAUUAGUGUUACCCCCUUAUUUUAUUUUGUAUUCUUUUUUUGGUUGCCUCACCAGUUAAUCAAAGGUGAUAUUCUAGAAACCUAAGCUUUGAGUACCUUUUUUGAGGACAUCUAAUGAUUAUCAUUCUUAUUAUUUGCUAGAAUUUUUCAACUUCAGCUUGGCUUCUGCCCGCUCAUUGUUUCUUUGAUCCACAUUUUGACGAUUUUAUUUUAGUGAAUUUAAUUAAUUGUGUUGCAUUCUUCUUUAUAUUUGGUUGUGCUUUUGUUCUGCUACUACCAUCAUUGAUGCUCACUGUAAGCUAGCAAUACCAUGUAGUUUAUUGUUGCUGCUGCUGCUACUGCUGUUGUUGAUAAUCUGCAGCUUACAGUUGUACCGGUGUCAGUGUUGGUUGUUAUUGUGGUAUCGGUGUUGAGUUGUUUCGGUUGAAAUAAACUCAAUAAGUAUAUAGCUUAAGAAGUGGAAGUUUUUUUAUCACCUUUGAUGUUAAAGGUUGAAACAUCUUUGAUACGGUACGUUUCUUUUGGGCUGCAUAUAGUUGAUGAUAUUGUUUCUGUUUUUUGCCCUGUGAUGGAAAAACUCACUGUGGGAAACAGUUUCAUGGUUUUGCAUCAUGAGUCUUGUUGCAUCUGUCCUCUCUCUCUUUCUCUUUCUCUCUCUCUUUCUCUAAGGUGCUGUUUAGCAGUGUACCCAUAUAAAUAUAUAUAUAUAUAUUCUCUCUCUCUCUCUCUCUCUCUCACAGAGGGUGGCUGGACAAUGUAGCAAGGCUCAUAAUGAAAUUUUUCAUGUUUUACUGUUAAUGACCUUAUUAGCUAUGAGAUCUGAGGGCUGUGUUGAAUGAUAAUAUAAUCUUUUUUAUGUUUUAAGAUUUAUUUUCCAUGUUAUUUUACCAUGUUCUUUUGUUGUCUCACACUAGUCAAUCAGAUGUGUUAUUGAAGAACUUGAGUUGAAUAAUAUUCAUAGUUUCUACAAUUUUGUUAACAGUAGCUUUUGGUUUUGUAUUUGAUUGUUGAAGUUAAUUGGUUUGCAUUCCAGCUUAUAUGGACUGCCCAAAUAUUUGUCAAAUGCUUUUUUUUACCUCACAUCUUGCUGCAAUCAGCCAUAUUUACUGCUCCCACCAUCAUCAGUAUCACCAUAUGCCACCAGUGCCCCAUCUAUGUGAUGUUUUGGUACAUAUUUAUGUGUAUAUAUCUCUAGCCUCAUUGCUUUUGUUGGUAAUGAUGAUGAUCUCCAUCUUCAGGUUGUUGUGGUAAGCAUCUAGAUAUUGUAGUGGGAGAUUUAACACUAUACUCCUUUGGAGACAAACUGGUUUUAAUGAAAUUCAUGUUUAUCUUUAUAUGCUUGUGUAUAAGAUAGUCAAUAUUUGAUGUUCUUUCUCAUCAUUUUUCUUAAAAUAUUUUUGUGAUUGUUGUUAUUUCAUUUAAAUUUGUUGUUAUUUUUGUGGUUGCCUGAUGAUGAGAACCUUUUUAUUGUAUUGAUGUGUGCAUUGAUUUCAUUUUAGCCUCCAUCUUUUCUGCUCCCACCAUCUUUGGUACACACCGCCAUCUCUAAAAGGUACUUUGUGUAAAUAUCCCUGAUUAUUAUUAUUAUUAUUUUCUCAUGUGGUGGAGGUGGUGGCGGUGACAAUGAUGAUGAUGCUGAUGAUGAUUCUUGUGUCUGUUGGAUGUGGUGAAUGCCAAUGAUGGUGGUUGAAGUGGUGGUGUUUAAACCUUGAAGAUGUGAUUGGUUUUCAAUGUACAUGAUGAUAUCUCUAGUUCUUCUUCUCUGAGGGCAUAUUUAUGUGUUGGGAUAGUUCUUUUAUAUAGCUAUGGGGUAUUUAUACUAAGUCAAAUUUCAUUACAUGUUUUACAUAGUCAAAUUUCAUUACAUGUUUUACAUGUUUUUUAGUACAUUAUUGCUAAAGGUUUUACUCUUUUGGAUAUUAAAGUCUUAUAUUUUGUUUUACAAUGCUCUUUUACUGUGACAAGUAUCUAUUUGUUAGAUUGUAUAAUCACAUUCUUCUCAAGAAGUUGUUUAUUAUAGACGGUUUCAAUGUCC